UACGUAGGGGGCAAGCGUUGUCCGGAGUUACUGGGCGUAAAGCGCACGCAGGCGGUGCGCCGCGUUUGGGCUGACAGCCCCUUGCCUAACGAGGGGAGCGGUUCAAAAACGGGCGCACUUGAGGGACCCAGAGGGACACAGAAUUCCGGGUGGAGUGGUGAAAUGCGUAGAGAUCCGGAGGAAUACCAAAGGCGAAGGCAGUGUCCUGGGGGUUACCUGACGCUCGGGUGCGAAAGCCAGGGGAGCGAACGGG
This 253-nucleotide ribosomal RNA is filed under the name uncultured prokaryote. Its description in RNAcentral is "partial 16S ribosomal RNA". It matches the Rfam family "Bacterial small subunit ribosomal RNA", at positions 524 to 776 of the family's 1533-position model. The record is from RNAcentral.